Molecule: long non-coding RNA, 582 nt
Filed under: Gossypium raimondii (Peruvian cotton)
Lineage: Eukaryota; Viridiplantae; Streptophyta; Magnoliopsida; Malvales; Malvaceae
Description: long non-coding RNA (GRAI_LNC007169)
Source: RNAcentral
UAGUGUUUGAAAAGUUAUUAGGUUAUUAAAUUUGAGUGUAAUUACUCAUAAUUAUUGAUUAUUGUGAAAGCUCAAUUUCGUCCAAGCCUAAAUAAAAAAACCAAACAGAAAAAAAUAAGUAAAACAAAAUUAAUUAGAGUCCAGAGUCCACUUAUAACAGAUUACUGGCCCAAAAUUACAAGCCCAAACGACCCAAAAUUAAAAAAAAACCCUAACUGCCCAAAUGGCCCAAACACCUAAACUGUUUCAGACUAAACAAAAACCCUACCCUAGCUCGCAUCGCACCCUAGACUGCACCGCCACCGCUCCUAGCCUCUGCCACCAUCAACUGCUCUUCAACCACCACCUGCAAAAAACAACAAACAACACGCAAAUAACAGUAGCCAAGCAGGGAUAAAAAAAAAAGAAAAAGAAGAGAGAUUUUAAUCUAAAAACGACUAUAAAAGCCAAAUCUUUGUAAUGUUUUAGGGGGUCUUUUUUUCUGAAAUAGAAAUCGAAAUAAAAAAAAACACAAACAAAGCAAUCAAAAUACAAAAUCGAAAAAAAACUUCAAAAGUAAUCUUUUUUUAUUUUUCUUUUUUU